Long non-coding RNA from Octopus sinensis (East Asian common octopus), 146 nucleotides. RefSeq lists it as uncharacterized. NCBI's taxonomy places the organism in Eukaryota, Metazoa, Mollusca, Cephalopoda, Octopoda, Octopodidae. The record is from RefSeq and is a predicted model, not a curated record. The transcript has 3 exons.
GUAAUGACAGAGCUGUAAAUCUUGCAUGUAUUAAUUUCAACACUUCUUAAUAAUAACUGCAUUGUUUCUUUCCAGGUAAACUGACAUCUUACUGCUCAAAGAAGACUUCAAAUGUAACUAGUAGCGACUUCCCUUGAAAACCAACA